AUGUGGGCUAUUACUGGUUUAAAAAGGGGAGGGAAAAGGUUUAAACAGAAGGAGAAAGUGUAGAAAAGGAGAUGGACAAACAGGACAUUUGUGGGCAAGAAAAGGAGGGAAAAGGAGCUGUACCAACAGGGCGUUUAAGGACAAAAAGGAGGGAAAAGGUGUAAACGGAAGGAGAAAGUGUAGAAAAGGAGCUGUAUAAACAGAACUUUUGUGGGCAAGAAAAGGAGGGAAAAGGAGCUGUACCAACAGGGCAUUUAAGGACAAAAGAGGAGGGAAAAGGUAUAAAUGGAAGGAGAUUAUUGUAGAAAAGGAGCCGUAAAAACAGGACAUUUGUGGGGAGAAAAAAAAGCGGGAAAGAAGUGCAGACAAGGAGCCCGACAAACAGGGCAUUCAUGGGCAAGAAAAGGAGGGAAAAGGUGCAAACGGAAGGAGAAAGUGUUGGAAAGGAGGUGAACAAACAGGAAUUUUGCUGCGUCAUGAAUCCAGAAUCUGACGCAGGUUUGAUCAUUAACUUUGACCUUUGACAUUUGAUCUUUUCAUCGAUCGCUUCCAGCCCCCAAAUUUAGUCAGAAGCCACCAGAGUGCAAAGGUAAGAGGAUCAGUUAUCGCUUUGUCGUGUAAAACAUGCAGAAAACUUAAGUCCAAGUGCUUUGGUCUGUCUGUUGAAAUGAAAAUAUAAUUUUUAGGAGCUGAAACGAGCUCCAUCAGCUUCCAGAAGAGGUUAGAUUUUAUUUUAAACUCUUCACCUUUAGUGCUGUGUGUUGUGGUUUUACAAUAAUGAGGUGGAACCAGUUAAAAAAAGCACAAAAUACUAAAUAAACUGUUUCUACAGCAGCUAUAAUUAACAAUUAAUCAGCUAUAAGUCACUUUAACUUUGCUAUCCUGCCAUGAAUAGUGAAGUUUUUAAGAGGAAAUUGAAAUAAAAGCAGAUAAUUUCAAAUAAAUGUGAACCUAAAGAGAAUUUGUCAUGGUAAAUAAUCUUUAAAAAUGAUUUCCUUUGUCUAAUAAAUUUUUAAAAAACAAUAAAAACUGAACGAAGUUCAAGGUACUUGUGUUAAAUCUACCUUAAAAUCCGGAAAUCCAUUGACUAUAGCGGAGAUGUUUCAUACAAGAUAAAAAAUAAGAUUUUUUUAAUCACCAAGAAGCUGUAUUUUAGCUCCAUAUUUUAAUCAUACUCUUAAAUCAGGGCUUGUUUUGUUUUUUGAUAGUGUAAAUACUGUAAACAUUCAUUUGUGUUCUGCAAAAUUACGACAUAAAUGACUCGUUCAUUAAUUAAUUAGUCAAUUAAGCAAAAAUGCUGAACAUAUCCAUAUUCUAGCUGCUUCUUUGUGUGUUAUCUGACAAUAAACUCGGUAUCUUUUUGUUGUUUGACCAAAAAGAAAGAUUUAAAGAGAUUUUCCACAACUUCCUGACAACAUCCAGAGAUUAAUUGAUUAAUUGAAAAGCUAAUUUCCUGACAGUAGCUGCUGAAAACAAAGCACCAGCUGAGGUAGUUUAUUGUCUAAGUGGUAUUAUUUGGCGAGGAGCUGUGCAGCGCCACCCAGAGGUCGUCCACUCAAACUGCUCAAUGGAGCCAACAGAGUCCAGAGGAGUUUCGUCAUUUCAUUUCUCUGGAAGAACUUCAUGCCGUGCAGAUGUUCAGAACUCAUUGACUUCAUGGGAAUUUACUGCAUUUCUAGUUAAUGUUGUUGCAAAAAAACAAGAGGCCCGAUUACAUUUCUAGACUCUAAAUGGAGUUUCAUCUCGUAGUUAGUUACGUUUUAAACCAUUUUUUUCAGAUAAUCUUGUAGUAUGCAACUUUUUCUACAAAUAUGAAUAAAAUAGUGAUAUUCUUUAGUGGAUUUAAAGUAAUUUAACUGGAAAAUUGUGUGUUUUUAUGGUCAAAUGUUGUUAAAGAACAAGUUCCAUGAGGCAGAGUGAGACAUUCAAUUAAGGCUGACGAUGUUAUGAAAAUAUGAAAAAUAGAAUAGAGGACAGAGCUUUUUUUCUAGACAUUCUUCAGGAAUACUGUUUGAUGAUGUUAAUUCCAGUGUUUUAUGUGAAUCGUUGUUUUCUUCUUCUUUUCCCAGCUAAAAAGGUCAUAAUAAUUAAACGGGUAUUGUGGGACACAUCCAUAAUGAUUGUUAUUUAAUAUAUUAUGUUGAUUCGAAAAAAUGUUCCCACAACUACAAGAGACAUCAAUGAAAUAAAUAAUACUGAAAAAAAGGAGAUUUAAUUACACAGCAACUGCCUAUUUUUGGUAUUUUGUACAUGGAUUAUUUCACAUUUGAUGGGUGGGACUUAAAAUCUCCUCCAGUUCUGGAAUGAGCCACAACAUCACAAAGAAAUAAUCAUGGAUGAAAGAAAGAAACAUUGGACUGCUUUGACAUUUUAAUGUUCCUUUAAUCAUAUCUUACAGGUUUUGUAAUCAGGACCACCUUGAAAAGCCUCUGGCUGUUAGAGAUUAUCACUAAUUCUAUAAUCAGCGUUGCUUCCUUUGGAUAAUUACUGCAGUGAUGAGUAUAGUUCAACAACUUCUUUAACCCUAGCUGAUGCAGUGAGGACCUUCUCAUUUCUUAGACAACCAUGUUGGAAGACAUAUCCUGUGGUCACGGAAAGGAUGUUAAUCUGUCUCAGAAGGGUCAAAUUAUUGGCCUGCAUCAAGCAAAGAACUAAGGAGAUGAAACUACUAAAAUCAGGUUAAGAACUGUCCAACGUAUUCUUAAAACCGAAAGGAUAGUGGUGAACCAUCAUCUUAAGGAACAAACUGUUAGAUGAUCGUAGGAAACCAACAGUAGAACUGAUAGCUAUGUUUAAUAGUGAAAUCAAAAGCAUUCCUAUAUGCACAAUGUGAACGGAACCCCAAGGAUUGGGACUAAACUGCUGUGUACCACUAAGAAAACCACUAAUCAGCAAAGUUUAAUGGAGAAAAAAAAUGCUUCAAUUUUGCCUUCUAGUCCAAAUUUACCCUGUUCCUAAAUGAUAGGUGCACUAGUUCGGGUUUGGUUUUGGUCCUGACUUUGUGUUGGGUUUUUUAGGACUGGUUUCAGACUGUAUUCCGACUGGUUCUGGGCGUUUCUUUGGACAAGUUUAGGUUUGAUUUUGGUCUUGGUUUUAGACCUUUUAAGGACUGGUUUAGGACUGGUUUUAUCAUGUCUUCGACUUUUUUAGGAGUAGCUUAGGUUUAAUUUUGGUCCUGGUUUAAGACUUUUUGAGGACUGGUUCCAGGCUGCCUUAGGCAGGACUCGGACUUUCUUUAAUCCUAAGAACACCAAACAUACCACCAAGCAUGGUGGUGGCAGUAUCAUGCUCUAUGGAACUGGAACUUUACACAAAGUAAAUGGAAUACUGAAGACAGAGAAUUACCUCCAUGUUCUUCAGGAAAACCUAAAACCAUCAGCAGAACGUUGAUCUUGGACACAGUUGGAUGUUUCAACAAGACCGUGAGCCCAAACACACAUAAGACGUGGUAAAGAAAUGGUUCCAUCAGGCUAGAAUGAAGCUUCUAGACUGGUCUUCCUGAAGUCCUGACUUAGACCCAUCAAGAACCUGAAGAACCAAAAUUGCAAAACUGCACCAAAAUUGGUGCAGUUACGCUAAAUUUGUCGUUUUUUUUUUUUUUUGUCUCAGACUUGAGUAAGUUAAAUUGAAAUCCAAAUAUUCGGAUCUCAAAAUAAAUAUUCGGAUACCCCUGUCACGACCAAAUAUUUGGACAUUUGGGUCCAGCCCUAGCUGUGACAUUGCAGAAACUUAUCGAAACACAGCAAAUGAGUGACACAAUCAAAGCUAAAUGCGGUUCAACAAAAUAUUAGUGUGUUUUUUGGGGGCUUUUUUUUGGACGGGCAGUCUAUUUGAGCUGUUCAAAAUUAUAUCUUCUUAGAGAUCUUAUAAGGAAGAUGUGAUGGAAACAGAAGAAGAGAAAAGUCUACAGUUGUGGCCGGACAUGCUCUGAUAGGGGUUUAAUUUAAUCUGCUGGUGAGACUUCUUCUACAUGAGCACCUCGAGGAAACGGUUUACUGUCUCCUCUACGGGAAGUCCCUCACAAAAGGAAGGCACCUCGAGGACCUCAGGGUUCUUGAUCUCGCUUUGAAGGUUCAUAAAGCUG
Long non-coding RNA from Acanthochromis polyacanthus (spiny chromis), 4084 nucleotides. RefSeq lists it as uncharacterized. NCBI's taxonomy places the organism in Eukaryota, Metazoa, Chordata, Actinopteri, Pomacentridae. The transcript has 2 exons. The record is from RefSeq and is a predicted model, not a curated record.